GGCCCAUUAGUUUAGUGGUUAUGACGUUGGAUUUUGACUUUACUCGUCAGGGUCUUCCAAAAACACCGGUUCGAAUCCGGUAUGGGCCU
RNAcentral lists this transfer RNA (89 nucleotides) under Thielaviopsis punctulata. Its description in RNAcentral is "Ceratocystis radicicola tRNA". It matches the Rfam family "tRNA". From Rfam's summary of the family: Transfer RNA (tRNA) molecules are approximately 80 nucleotides in length. Their secondary structure includes four short double-helical elements and three loops (D, anti-codon, and T loops). Further hydrogen bonds mediate the characteristic L-shaped molecular structure. tRNAs have two regions of fundamental functional importance: the anti-codon, which is responsible for specific mRNA codon recognition, and the 3' end, to which the tRNAs corresponding amino acid is attached (by aminoacyl-tRNA synthetases). tRNAs cope with the degeneracy of the genetic code in two manners: having more than one tRNA (with a specific anti-codon) for a particular amino acid; and 'wobble' base-pairing, i.e. permitting non-standard base-pairing at the 3rd anti-codon position. The record is from Rfam by way of RNAcentral. Lineage: Eukaryota; Fungi; Ascomycota; Sordariomycetes; Microascales; Ceratocystidaceae.